CUACGGGACGCAGCAGGUAAGAAUCUUCUACAAUGCACGAAAGUGUGAUAGAGUGAGCCAGAGUGCUUUUCAAUGAAAAGCUUUUGCUGAGUUUAAAACGCUCGGCGAAUAAGGACUGGGUAAGACUAGUGCCAGCCGCCGCGGUAAUACUAGCGGUCCAAGUCGCAGCCAUUUUUAUUGGGUCUAAAACAUCCGUAGCUUGCUUAAUAAGUUUCUUGUGAAAUCUCAUAUCUCAAGUAUGAGGCGUGCGGGAAAUACUGUUAAGCUAGAGACUGGGAGACGUAACGAGUACGAUCAAGGUAGCGGUUAAAUGUGUUAAUCUUGGUCGGACUAACAACAGCGAAGGCACGUUACGAGAACAGUUCUGACAGUAAGGGAUGAAGGCUAGGGGCGCAAAAGGGAUUAGAUACCCCCGUAGUC
RNAcentral lists this ribosomal RNA (420 nucleotides) under uncultured archaeon. RNAcentral's name for it is "partial 16S ribosomal RNA". It matches the Rfam family "Archaeal small subunit ribosomal RNA", at positions 323 to 746 of the family's 1478-position model. The record is from RNAcentral.